This 253-nucleotide ribosomal RNA is filed under the name uncultured bacterium. RNAcentral's name for it is "partial 16S ribosomal RNA". It matches the Rfam family "Bacterial small subunit ribosomal RNA", at positions 524 to 776 of the family's 1533-position model. The record is from RNAcentral.
UACAGAGGUCUCAAGCGUUGUUCGGAAUUACUGGGCGUAAAGGGUGCGCAGGCCGCGCGGGCAGUCAAUUGUGUAAUUCAGGGGCUCAACCCCUGGACUGCGCUUGAUACUUCCGCGCUCGAGCUUUGGAGAGGAGUCUGGAAUUCUCGGUGUAGCAGUGAAAUGCGUGGAUAUCGAGAGGAACACCUGCGGCGAAGGCGGGUUGCUGGGCUGACACUGACGCUGAUGCGCGAAAGCCAGGGGAGCGAACGGG